Molecule: ribosomal RNA, 888 nt
Filed under: uncultured euryarchaeote
Lineage: Archaea; Methanobacteriati; Methanobacteriota
Description: bacterial SSU rRNA
Rfam family: Archaeal small subunit ribosomal RNA
Source: RNAcentral
GGUCACUGCUAUGGGAAUUCGACUAAGCCAUGCAAGUUGAGGGCACCUUUUAUAGGAGACCCAGCAAACUGCUCAGUAACGCGCGGAUAAUCUGCCCACAGGACGGGGAUAACCCUGGGAAACUGGGAAUAAUACCCGAUAGGUCAUUGAUACUGGAAUGUUCUUUGAUCUAAACGCUCUUUUUACGCCUGUGGAUGAGUCUGCGUCCGAUUAGGCUGUUGUUGGGGUAAUGGCCCAACAAACCUACGAUCGGUACGGGUCGUGAAAGCGAUUGCCCGGAGAUGGGAUCUGAGAUAUGAUCCUAGGCCCUACGGGGUGCAGCAGGCGCGAAAACUUUACAAUGUGGGAAACCAUGAUAAGGGAAUUCCCAGUGUUCUUACAAAGUAGGAACUGUUUGGGUGUGUAAAAAGCAUCCAAUAGAAAGGGCCGGGUAAGACCGGUGCCAGCCGCCGCGGUAAUACCGGUGGCUCGAGUGGUGACCGCUUUUAUUGGGUCUAAAGCGUCCGUAGCCGGCCUAAAAAGUUACCUGGGAAAUCCGGUGGCCUAACCAUCGGGCGGCCGGGUGAUACUAUUAGGCUUGGGACUAGGAGAAACCAGAGGUACUCAUGAGGUAGGAGUGAAAUCCUGUAAUCUUAUGAGGACCACCAGUGGCGAAGGCGUCUGGUUAGAAUAGGUCCGACGGUGAGGGACGAAGGCUGGGGGCGCAAACCGGAUUAGAUACCCGGGUAGUCCCAGCAGUAAACGAUGCCAGCUAUGUGUUGCUGGAACCAUGGGUUCUAGCAGUGCCGAAGGGAAGCCGUGAAGCUGGCCACCUGGGAAGUACGGCCGCAAGGCUGAAACUUAAAGGAAUUGGCGGGGGAGUACCACAACCGGUGGAGCCUGCGGUUU